RNAcentral lists this ribosomal RNA (250 nucleotides) under uncultured bacterium. RNAcentral describes it as "partial 16S ribosomal RNA". It matches the Rfam family "Bacterial small subunit ribosomal RNA", at positions 525 to 775 of the family's 1533-position model. The record is from RNAcentral.
ACGUAGGCGGCAAGCGUUGUCCGGAAUUAUUGGGCGUAAAGGGAGCGCAGGCGGGAAACUAAGCGGAUCUUAAAAGUGCGGGGCUCAACCCCGUGAUGGGGUCCGAACUGGUUUUCUUGAGUGCAGGAGAGGAAAGCGGAAUUCCCAGUGUAGCGGUGAAAUGCGUAGAUAUUGGGAAGAACACCAGUGGCGAAGGCGGCUUUCUCGACUGUAACUGACGCUGAGGCUCGAAAGCUAGGGUAGCGAACGG